RNAcentral lists this ribosomal RNA (433 nucleotides) under uncultured bacterium. RNAcentral's name for it is "partial 16S ribosomal RNA". It matches the Rfam family "Bacterial small subunit ribosomal RNA", at positions 29 to 507 of the family's 1533-position model. The record is from RNAcentral.
AACGAACGCUGGCGGCAUGCCUAACACAUGCAAGUCGAACGAGACCUUCGGGUCUAGUGGCGCACGGGUGCGUAACGCGUGGGAACCUGCCCUUAGGUUCGGAAUAACUCCCCGAAAGGGGUGCUAAUACCGGAUAAUGUCUUCGGACCAAAGAUUUAUCGCCUUUGGAUGGGCCCGCGUUGGAUUAGCUAGUUGGUAGGGUAAUAGCCUACCAAGGCGACGAUCCAUAGCUGGUCUGAGAGGAUGAUCAGCCACACUGGGACUGGGACACGGCCCAGACUCCUACGGGAGGCAGCAGUGGGGAAUAUUGGACAAUGGGCGAAAGCCUGAUCCAGCAAUGCCGCGUGAGUGAUGAAGGCCUUAGGGUUGUAAAGCUCUUUUACCCGGGAUGAUAAUGACAGUACCGGGAGAAUAAGCUCCGGCUAACUCCGUG